AAAAUAAGAAGGGCUAGAGAUAUAGCUCAUUGAUAGAGCACCCCUGGGUUCUAUCCCUAGUACUACUAAAAAAAAUAAAAAUAAACAAAAAAGAAAAAUGAAAAAGAGUUUAGGAAUUUUCAAUUUAAGUGAUAAUACUUAAGUUGUUGAAAAUCUUUUUUUUUUGUACUUGUAUAUUUGAGUAAAUCAAAUAGAAAGGUUUUAGUUUCUAAAAGGGAUUGAAAUGAAUGAGAUUGAAUAUAAACUUGGAGUACUUAAAAUAACAUAUUAGAAAGAAGAAAAUCAUGGUAGAUCCUUGUAAAAGGCAGGUGGAAUUCAUAAUAAUAACUGGAUGAAAAAACUUACUAAAGCUGAGAUAAGAUGUGCUACAAUAUUCUGCAGAAUAGCACCUACAUGGUUCAAGUGAGCAAGCAGAUGGCUUUGAAUGCCCAACAGCACCACAAAUUAAUUAAGACCAUAUCUAUAUGACUAGUACAUUUGCUCUUUUUCUUUUUAAAUUUUUUUUUAGUCGUAGAUGGACACAAUGCCUUUAUUUUAUUUUUAUGUGGUGCUGAGGAUCGAACCCAGUGCUUUCCACAUGUGAGGCAAGCAGUCUACCACUGAGUUACAAUUCCAACCCACACUUUUUCUUUUUGACCUCUGUGCUGGUUGCAUUCUGAGUUCAUAACCAGAAUGUCUAAUUAUCAGAAUCAUGUUAAUGAACUGAUUGCAUUUACUAGUGUCAGUGAGAGCAUUCCAAUCAUUUCUCAAUAUUCAGACUGAAAAUGCACAUAAAUUGAAUCAUAGGCUUUGAGCAGCAAUAAAUGAAACUUCCGCAAGUACAUAUAUUUAAGUCUCAAGAACUAUUUUAUGGGGCCAGGGCUUGGACUGUAGCUUAGUGGCAGAGCACUUGCUUAGCAAGUGUGAGGCACUGGGUUCGAACUUUAGCACCACAUAAUAAAUAAAUCAGUAAAUAAAUAAAUAAAGGCAUUCUGUCCAUUAAAAAAGUAUUUUAUAUAUAGUGUGUAUAUUCUUGCUAAUUAACUAAACAUUAAAAUGUAACAUAAAAUAUGAAAUAUGUUCAGGCUUAUAAAUAUAAAUUCAUCCAUUCAUGCAUCCUUUACCUUUUUUUUUGAUACUACUGUUAUCUUCCCAUGAUAGAUCUAGGAAUACCAGCAUGCAGAUACAUACCCCAAUGCAAAAUGGUAUUUUUUCUGAGCAAGCAGGGGGUAAAGCUUUGACCAGGGGAAAGUUUACAUAUUCUGUUAUAUAGGAGUGCCAAA
This 1262-nucleotide long non-coding RNA is filed under the name Marmota monax (woodchuck). Lineage: Eukaryota; Metazoa; Chordata; Mammalia; Rodentia; Sciuridae. The record is from RNAcentral.